Molecule: ribosomal RNA, 404 nt
Filed under: Actinomycetes bacterium
Lineage: Bacteria; Bacillati; Actinomycetota; Actinomycetes
Description: Actinobacteria bacterium partial 16S ribosomal RNA
Rfam family: Bacterial small subunit ribosomal RNA
Source: RNAcentral
UGGGGAAUAUUGGACAAUGGGCGCAAGCCUGAUCCAGCCAUGCCGCGUGAGUGAUGAAGGCCCUAGGGUUGUAAAGCUCUUUCACCGGUGAAGAUAAUGACGGUAACCGGAGAAGAAGCCCCGGCUAACUUCGUGCCAGCAGCCGCGGUAAUACGAAGGGGGCUAGCGUUGUUCGGAUUUACUGGGCGUAAAGCGCACGUAGGCGGACUAUUAAGUCAGGGGUGAAAUCCCGGGGCUCAACCCCGGAACUGCCUUUGAUACUGGUAGUCUUGAGUUCGAGAGAGGUGAGUGGAAUUCCGAGUGUAGAGGUGAAAUUCGUAGAUAUUCGGAGGAACACCAGUGGGGAAGGCGGCUCACUGGCUCGAUACUGACGCUGAGGUGCGAAAGCGUGGGGAGCAAACAGG